CCUACCUCUGCGAUUGCUUUUUAACAAAUGUUGCCUGUAUUUAUUUGUUUAAAUCUGCUGCAAUUCCCAACUUAUUUAACUCUAUUUCCCCUUCACACAUUCUCCUUUCCUACCAAAUGGGAAUAAAAGCCACCUCUUAAGUCUCGUGCUAUCUUGAUUUCCUCCAGAUCCCAAUGGCCACAGCUGCUCUCUUUUGUCUGGGAGCACUCUCUGUUCCUCCUCUCUACCUGACCACUUCCACCUCCAGCUUCAUGUUCUUUCCAUUACGUUGUGGAAGAUGGCCCAGCACUCUCAGGUGCUGUGCUGGAGGGAAUGGAACCCCCUGCCCUCAAGACUCUUCUAGUUACCCUAAAAGAAUUGCGAAUCACUAACACAGAAGCAGCUAAGCUUUGAAAUCUUUAUGGAAAGUUUUGCCUGACUUUUUGACAGAACAUCUGGGAAGUAACAAUAAAGGCAGCUGUUUGAGAAGGCA
RNAcentral lists this long non-coding RNA (472 nucleotides) under Monodelphis domestica (gray short-tailed opossum). RNAcentral describes it as "lncRNA (ENSMODG00000045636.1)". Lineage: Eukaryota; Metazoa; Chordata; Mammalia; Didelphimorphia; Didelphidae. The record is from RNAcentral.